This 373-nucleotide ribosomal RNA is filed under the name uncultured organism. RNAcentral's name for it is "partial 16S ribosomal RNA". It matches the Rfam family "Bacterial small subunit ribosomal RNA", at positions 527 to 896 of the family's 1533-position model. The record is from RNAcentral.
GUAGGUGGCAAGCGUUGUCCGGAAUUAUUGGGCGUAAAGCGCGCGCAGGCGGUUCUUUAAGUCUGAUGUGAAAGCCCACGGCUCAACCGUGGAGGGUCAUUGGAAACUGGAGAACUUGAGUACAGAAGAGGAAAGCGGAAUUCCACGUGUAGCGGUGAAAUGCGUAGAGAUGUGGAGGAACACCAGUGGCGAAGGCGGCUUUCUGGUCUGUAACUGACGCUGAGGCGCGAAAGCGUGGGGAGCAAACAGGAUUAGGUACCCUGGUAGUCCACGCCGUAAACGAUGAGUGCUAAGUGUUAGGGGGGUUUCCGCCCCCUUAGUGCUGCAGCUAACGCAUUAAGCACUCCGCCUGGGGAGUACGGCCGCAAGGCUG